This 524-nucleotide ribosomal RNA is filed under the name uncultured bacterium. Its description in RNAcentral is "bacterial SSU rRNA". It matches the Rfam family "Bacterial small subunit ribosomal RNA", at positions 777 to 1304 of the family's 1533-position model. The record is from RNAcentral.
AAUAGAUACCCUGGUAGUCCACGCCCUAAACGUUGCGAACUAGGUGUUGGUGGGAUUGACCCCAUCAGUGCCGCAGCUAACGCAUUAAGUAGACCGCCUGGGGAGUACGGUCGCAAGAUUAAAACUCAAAGGAAUUGACGGGGACCCGCACAAGCGGUGGAUGAUGUGGAUUAAUUCGAUGCAACGCGAAAAACCUUACCUACCCUUGACAUGGCAGGAACCUUGGAGAGAUCUGAGGGUGCUCGAAAGAGAACCUGCACACAGGUGCUGCAUGGCUGUCGUCAGCUCGUGUCGUGAGAUGUUGGGUUAAGUCCCGCAACGAGCGCAACCCUUGUCAUUAGUUGCUACGAAAGGGCACUCUAAUGAGACUGCCGGUGACAAACCGGAGGAAGGUGGGGAUGACGUCAAGUCCUCAUGGCCCUUAUGGGUAGGGCUUCACACGUCAUACAAUGGUACAUACAGAGGGCCGCCAACCCGGCGAGGGGAGCAAAUCCCAGAAAGUGUAUCGUAGUCCGGAUUGUAGU